RNAcentral lists this non-coding RNA (111 nucleotides) under Chloroflexota bacterium. RNAcentral describes it as "Chloroflexi bacterium TPP sequence". It matches the Rfam family "TPP riboswitch aptamer (THI element)". From Rfam's summary of the family: Vitamin B(1) in its active form thiamin pyrophosphate (TPP) is an essential coenzyme that is synthesised by coupling of pyrimidine and thiazole moieties in bacteria. Lineage: Bacteria; Bacillati; Chloroflexota. The record is from RNAcentral.
UGAAUACGACGGGGGAGCGCCCGACGAAGGGGGCGCUGAGAGUGCGGACGGCCGCAGACCCCAGAACCUGAUCUGAGUAAUGUCAGCGUAGGGAGUCGAGACGCGUGAAAC